This 253-nucleotide ribosomal RNA is filed under the name uncultured bacterium. RNAcentral describes it as "partial 16S ribosomal RNA". It matches the Rfam family "Bacterial small subunit ribosomal RNA", at positions 524 to 776 of the family's 1533-position model. The record is from RNAcentral.
UACGUAGGGUGCGAGCGUUGUCCGGAAUUAUUGGGCGUAAAGAGCUCGUAGGCGGUUUGUCGCGUCUGCCGUGAAAGUCCGGGGCUCAACUCCGGAUCUGCGGUGGGUACGGGCAGACUAGAGUGAUGUAGGGGAGACUGGAAUUCCUGGUGUAGCGGUGAAAUGCGCAGAUAUCAGGAGGAACACCGGUGGCGAAGGCGGGUCUCUGGGCCGUAACUGACGCUGAGGAGCGAAAGCGUGGGGAGCGAACAGG